RNAcentral lists this ribosomal RNA (253 nucleotides) under uncultured prokaryote. RNAcentral's name for it is "partial 16S ribosomal RNA". It matches the Rfam family "Bacterial small subunit ribosomal RNA", at positions 524 to 776 of the family's 1533-position model. The record is from RNAcentral.
UACAGAGAGUGCAAGCGUUAAUCGGAAUUACUGGGCGUAAAGCGCACGUAGGUGGAUACUUAAGUCGGAUGUGAAAUCCCUGGGCUUAACCCGGGAACUGCAUCCGAUACUGGGUAUCUAGAGUAUGGUAGAGGGAAGUGGAAUUUCCGGUGUAGCGGUGAAAUGCGUAGAUAUCGGAAAGAACACCAGUGGCGAAAGCGGCUUCCUGGACUAAUACUGACACUAAGGUGCGAAAGCGUGGGGAGCAAACAGG